This is a non-coding RNA of Callorhinus ursinus (northern fur seal), 237 nucleotides long. The record is from RefSeq and is a predicted model, not a curated record. Lineage: Eukaryota; Metazoa; Chordata; Mammalia; Carnivora; Otariidae.
UGACUGAAUGAGCACAGAGGCACAGAAAAGUCAUCAUUCAGAAGCAGAAUAGCCAAGGAAGGUCCCAUGGAGGCAGCCAGAUCCAAUGUGAGCACUGAACAGUGGAGGACGUGAUCACAGGGAAAAGAGGGAAGUCAUGAAAUCCAGGGAAUACACAGAGACAGAAUCUCUCAAGGACCUGAUGAAUGGUUGAGGAAACACUGAAAGAUCAUGCAACAUUAACAAGCAACAGGAAGG